Molecule: microRNA precursor, 109 nt
Filed under: Brachypodium distachyon (stiff brome)
Lineage: Eukaryota; Viridiplantae; Streptophyta; Magnoliopsida; Poales; Poaceae
Description: MIR398 microRNA precursor family
Rfam family: MIR398 microRNA precursor family
Source: Rfam by way of RNAcentral
GCUGAACCCACAGGAGUGUCACUGAGAACACAGGUGCAGAUGCCAAUGCAUGGUGAGUUUUCAUUUUUGCAUCGCAAUUGUGUUCUCAGGUCACCCCUUUGGGUUGCUU